Long non-coding RNA from Aethina tumida (small hive beetle), 1419 nucleotides. RefSeq lists it as uncharacterized. The record is from RefSeq and is a predicted model, not a curated record. The transcript has 3 exons. Lineage: Eukaryota; Metazoa; Arthropoda; Insecta; Coleoptera; Nitidulidae.
AACAAAUGGCUGCCAACUGCAGAAUGACAACUUUGAAUUUGAACAAAAUUUCAAAACAAUCGUGCUUGAACCAACGAUGAAGUACCACCCCCCACCCCAGUUCCCUCACUUUUGACUUACUGAUUAUAGGCGUUGGACCAUUGAAUUGACAAGCUGGAGGGCACAUGGUGCUCGUGGCUGGAGGACGUUGAUUUAGUUGGGGUUGGACUUCGAGAACGAUAAGACUUACGAUUACAGUACAACGGUGGUGGUUCAGAGGUUUUUGACGAUGAGCAACCCACAACUGUAUGAGCCGGUGAUAUGCGUUGAAGACACUGAUGAUAGCACCAACCGUCUGGAAUUUCAGGUGAAGACGGAGGCUAUGGACGACUUGGUCGUCGACAAAUUAGAAUUUGUCAAGGAAGGAAUUACGGAGCAGCCGAUAAAUGAUGAAGAAAAUAGAGAAUUGUUGGACAUGUUGGACUUGAAGACUUGAAAAGGAUGACUAUCAUAAACAGCACAACUGAUGAUGUUGGUGAUAGCACCAAUAGUUGGAAACUCCUGGUAGGGACGGAGGUUAAGGACGACGUGUUCAUCGAAGAAUUAGAAAUUGUCAUACCAGAAAUUAAAGAUGAGUGGGUAAAUAAGGAUUUUAUUGAUAUAGAAAGUAGUAAAUUUGGAAAGAAGCCCAACGCUAGACAUAAUGGACUUGAAGACUUGAAAAACGUGACUGUCGUAGACAGUACAACUAACAAGGAGUCUUCCAUACAUUUUCCAAACACUAAAGGAAACAAAAAUAACAGAAAACUUUCACCACUUACUCCAGUUAAUAGUAAUAGAGUACUGAAAACUAAUAAGAAACGUCCCUUGAACAAAGGAGUUAAUCAAAAUAGUACAUCAAGAAAUGAUAGCAAGGGUUUAGAAGUGUUGACUGGAGGAUGGAAGUUAUAAAACUAUUGCAGAUACAAAUCUCAAGAGAAAAUCGUCACUGAAUUUUGCGAAGAAAAGCUACAUGUCUCUACACAAGAGAUCACAGGAGGCGAAAUUUGUUUAAUUAAUUUUUACAGUUAAUUAUGAUUAAAUGUUUAGUAUAUUAUAGAGAUAUAUAUUUUCAAGACUGAUGAACAUUAAAUUAGACUAGAAGAACAUAAUUUAUUUUGUUUAUUCUAAAAGUUAUUAAUAAUUUUAUAUGAAAAUGCAUAUUAUAUAUUUAAUGUGUUAAUGUAUUGUUUUAUUUAAAAUAAUAAAUAAAAACCGAAGUCAAUACAAAAUAAUAAAAACAUUCAGAACUCAAACUACAACGUAGGGCACAUUUAAAAUAGAAAAUCCAUUUUUGAAUAAAUACAAACAAAAAACAGCUUUAAAUAACCCUUCCAGGGGUUAAAAUUAUUAAUAUUACGACCAACGGGUUGAUUUCAUUUUUAUUUGAUCACACCUACC